Molecule: transfer RNA, 76 nt
Filed under: Bacteroidota bacterium
Lineage: Bacteria; Pseudomonadati; Bacteroidota
Also listed under: 1 other name
Description: Bacteroidetes bacterium (marine metagenome) tRNA-Arg
Rfam family: tRNA
About the family: Transfer RNA (tRNA) molecules are approximately 80 nucleotides in length.
Source: RNAcentral
GCCCCUGUAGCUCAACAGGACAGAGCGUCGGCCUCCUAAGCCGAAUGUCCAGGUUCGAGUCCUGGCAGGGGUACAA